RNAcentral lists this long non-coding RNA (448 nucleotides) under Zonotrichia albicollis (white-throated sparrow). Its description in RNAcentral is "lncRNA (ENSZALG00000004419.1)". Lineage: Eukaryota; Metazoa; Chordata; Aves; Passeriformes; Passerellidae. The record is from RNAcentral.
AACAUGUUUUCUGCCAGAUGACCGUGCUGACCUGCCUCCCUGGAGACAAACCUGUUUCCUCGCUCCAGGCAAGGCACAGGAGCAGGGAGGAGCAGCAGGAGGAGGGAGGCAGCAGCGUGGGACCGCCUGACCUUCAGUGGAGGCUGCUGGGCGCACGGGAGACGUGUCCAAGGCAGCAAGCAGGAGAGAAAAGUGAGCUGGGACUGCAGCUCUGAGCCUCGUGUCAAGACAUCACAGGCAGCCUGUGAGCUCACCCUGCCCUGCAGCCUCCGAGGCUGGUACUUCUGCUCCUGUCUUGUUUCAGAUGUACCCUGGCAGGGCCUGUGGGGACAGAGGGACCCCAGUGACAGCUGUCCUGUGCCAGGCAAUACAGGAAGGAAGAUAGAAAAAUAUGAGGACAACCCAAACCAGCAGGUACACUUGUCUAGACCAAUUUUUUUGCUUUGUU